CUCUUGUUCUCUCUUUAUCUCUUUGCUCUUCUCUCUUUGAUCGGAUGAUCUUUCCCUGCUGUAGAAGCUCUUCUUAUAUAAUCAUAAACUAGACCCAAUCCUCUCUGAAAAAGGAUUAUUUCCAUUCUUGCAAAACACGAGACCGUCUUUGGUGUUUCCUUUUCCUGAAAACAUUAACCGACAAAGCAUGGUUUGGUCUUUUGUAAGUGAGCUGGAAUUGGGCCAGAAGUGGGAUUGGGCCCAUCUCUUCACAAUCUCCACCUUGGGCCCAACUCCAUACUUCUAUUGCGUCUUCUCGUUGACGGAGAAUCCGUCGUCUUCAUCGUCAACGUCUCUCACUUGGAAGCAAAUAUCCAGAAGCAUGCCUUUUAAUAUAAACCUUCACAACUUAUCCUUUGUUGUAAUCAAAGUUACAAACUGACUUCUUCACCAACCAAAAUAGUUCCUCCACCAUCUUCUAUGUCGUUUCAGCUGAUUUGUCUGCCGAUUCUUUUCAAUUCCAGCCGGUGAAUCCAUCACCAACGACUCUGACCACCUGACUCGUCAAUUAGUCUUUCCAGGAAGCUGCGAAUUGAUCCCCUAGAGCCACCGUUUGAUUUUCAUCCUCCUAUAAAAAAUUCAGAUUAAUGAAGCUACUCCUAUAAACCACCAUGGUUUUUCAGCUGCUUCAAUGAGUUCAGCUCUAAUCCGUAAGAUUCAACCACUAUGCGCAUUCUCUGAUGGUUUCUCAUCGUUUAUGGAUCCGUCACCGCUAGACGACCCUUUCGUUAAGGAUAAUUAGAAAAACAAGUUUCACCGGAGUUCUGCAGUUUUCCACUUCUUGGACAAAAUUCGCUGCUUCCUCAACCUAUUGACGAUGACUUUCCUUUUGUUUCUUCGACGAUCCCGUUGUGCUUCUCAUGUACCAGAGAUACUCGUCUCCCUUCACCAUUGACGGUGUUUAAGACGUUCUCUCAUCAACCUUCCCCUUCCUUGUUUGGCGACCCGUUGCAAUUGUUUUUUAGCCUGAGAUACUCGUCUCCCUUCACCAUUCUUGAUGUUUAAGACGUUCUCUCAGGUAGCACUUCAAAAAAAAAAAAACCUCUCCUACCCUCCAUCCGAUUUACUUGAGACCUAUUAGCAACUUUCCUAUGUUUCAGCUGCUCCACCUUGAACUGAAACAUCCACCUCGUCUUAUCCGUCACAGGUAACCUUUCUAAAUCCUUUUCAUUAUCGAUAAGAAACAAUAGUAGUUCCUUACUCAUUAUUUCUUCUUGUGCGAGGUGUCUCGAUAAUGACGUUACCUGUGACGCUUUUCUCCUAUUAGUGGACAUUGGGAAGUUCACAGCAAAGCUGCAACUUCUGAUCAGUGAGCUGGAAUUGGGCCAGAAGUGGGAUUGGGCCCAUCUCUUCACACAGUCUUU
This is a long non-coding RNA of Raphanus sativus (radish), 1403 nucleotides long. RefSeq lists it as uncharacterized. Lineage: Eukaryota; Viridiplantae; Streptophyta; Magnoliopsida; Brassicales; Brassicaceae. The record is from RefSeq and is a predicted model, not a curated record. The transcript is spliced from 5 exons.